RNAcentral lists this ribosomal RNA (408 nucleotides) under uncultured bacterium. Its description in RNAcentral is "partial 16S ribosomal RNA". It matches the Rfam family "Bacterial small subunit ribosomal RNA", at positions 28 to 526 of the family's 1533-position model. The record is from RNAcentral.
GACGAACGCUGGCGGCGUGCUUAACACAUGCAAGUCGAACGAAGUGGCGAACGGGUGAGUAACGCGUAAUCAACCUGCCCUUCAGAGGGGGACAACAGUUGGAAACGACUGCUAAUACCGCAUACUGAAGGAGGGGAUUGGGUUGGAUUAGCUAGUUGGAGGGGUAACGGCCCACCAAGGCGAGGGUCAGUAGCCUGUCUGAGAGGAUUAACGGCCACAAUGGGAAUGGGACACGGCCCAAACGCCCUCGGGAGGCAGCAGUGGGGAAUCUUCCGCAAUGGACGGAAGUCUGACGGAGCAACUCCGCGUGGGUGAUGACGGCCUUCGGGUUGUAAAGCUCUGUUAAUCGGGACGCGGUACCGGAAUAGAAAGCCACGGCUAACUACGUGCCAGCAGCCGCGGUAAUAC